Molecule: microRNA precursor, 71 nt
Filed under: Myotis lucifugus (little brown bat)
Lineage: Eukaryota; Metazoa; Chordata; Mammalia; Chiroptera; Vespertilionidae
Description: mir-9229 microRNA precursor family
Rfam family: mir-9229 microRNA precursor family
Source: Rfam by way of RNAcentral
GAGACACCCUUAUGGAGCAGGACUGCUUCAGUGGGGCGUGCUCACUGAGUCUGCCCCUUGAGUGUGUCGCU